GGUGAAGUGGGGCUAAUAAAACUUAACCACCUAGCUUGUGGGAAAAUGAUUCUGUGCUCAGUGAGGAAGUGCUUUCAAGACCAUCUGGCGCCGAGUGGUGGAGUGGUGCUGUCGUAGAAGCUGCGAUGGUGUGUUAAUUCUCUCUCCCUCUUUCUACCCUGGUGAAACUGAGAUCCUUGAGGGUAGGACCUAUGUCUGCCUUAUGUAUCCUGAACCUACCCGAGAUGAGAGAGUCACAGGAAGGGAGAGAAAUUCUACGUUGGCAGCACUGUUCACACGUGAGCAAGCAAAGCCACCACUCCUUGCUGGAGGAAUUCUGGGGGCUGCACAGUGAGGGUGCCCUUCAUCCUGGAGAUGGUCCAGGAAAUACAUCAAGACUCAUCUCCUCAUCCCCACCCGACCCCCGCAGCACUGAGUCCCG
RNAcentral lists this long non-coding RNA (421 nucleotides) under Equus caballus (horse). RNAcentral describes it as "lncRNA (ENSECAG00000056738.1)". The record is from RNAcentral. Lineage: Eukaryota; Metazoa; Chordata; Mammalia; Perissodactyla; Equidae.